RNAcentral lists this long non-coding RNA (1193 nucleotides) under Junco hyemalis (dark-eyed junco). RNAcentral's name for it is "lncRNA (ENSJHYG00000005879.1)". Lineage: Eukaryota; Metazoa; Chordata; Aves; Passeriformes; Passerellidae. The record is from RNAcentral.
CCAUCCAAUCCCAUUGAUCCCAUCGAUCCCAUCCGAUCAAUCCCAUUGAUCCUAUCCCAUCAGUCCCAUCAAUCCCAUCCAAUCAAUCCCAUUGAUCCAAUCCCAUUGACCCCAUCCAAUCCCAUUGAUCCCACUGACCCCCAUUGAUCCCAUCGAUCCCACUGAUCCCAUCCGAUCAAUCCCACUGAUCCCAUUGAUCCCAUCGAUCCCACUGACCCCAUCUAAUGCCAUUGAUUCCAUUAACCCCCGAUCAAUCCCAUUGAUCCCAUUGAUCCCAUCCGAUCGAUCUUAUCAAUCCCAUCGAUCCCAUCCGAUCAAUCCCAUUAAUCCCAUCUGAUCAAUCUUAUCGUUCCCAUUGAUCCCACCCGAUCGACCCCACGGCCCCCCCUUGCCCCGGCGCACCCUCGGACUCGGAGCCUUCCUCCUCGGCCUCCUCCUCCUCCUCGCUCUCCUCGCCGUCGCUCUCCUCCUCCUUCUCCACCUUCUGCCGCACGCUGGUGAACACCGACUGCAGCACGAUCGAGUCCUCGUAGAUCUGCCAGCGGUCACUCGCGGUCACUCAUGGUCAGUCAUGGUCAGUCAUGGUCAGUUCUGGUCACUCACAGUCAGUUCUGGUCACUCGCGGUCAUUCACGGUCACUCGGUCAGUUCUGGUCAGUCUUGGUUCAGUUCUGGUCAGUCUUGGUCACUCACGGUCACUCGCGGUCACUCAUGGUCGGUCGUGGUCAGUCAUGGUCAGUUCUGGUCAGUCUUGGUCACUCAUGGUCACUUGUGGUCAGUCAUGGUCACUCCUGGUUAUCCAUCGUCAAUUCUGGUCACCCAUGGUCAGGCAUGGUCAUUUCUGGUCAUUUCUGGUCACUCAUGGUCAGUCUUGGUCACUCGUGGUCAGUCUUGGUCACUUAUGGUCAGUUCUGGUCACUCAUGGUCACUUGUGGUCAGUCACAGUCAGUCAUGGUCACUUGUGGUCAGUCACGUUCAGUCAUGGUCACUUGUGGUCAGUCAUGGUCACCCGUGGUCAGUUCUGGUCAGUCAUGGUCACUUGUGGUCAGUCUUGGUCACUCAUGGUCAGUCGUGGUCAGUUCUGGUCAGUCCUGGUCAUCCCUGGUCAUUCCAACUCAUUCCAGGCCAUUCCUGGUCACUCCUGGUCAGUUCUGGUCUUCCCUGGUCACUCUUGGACAUUCCUGGCCACCCCAG